GGUUAUGGCUCAGUGGUAGAGUGCUUACCUUGCACAUGUGAGGAACUGGGUUCGAUCCUCAGCACCA
RNAcentral lists this transfer RNA (67 nucleotides) under Marmota monax (woodchuck). RNAcentral's name for it is "tRNA.Ala". The record is from RNAcentral. Lineage: Eukaryota; Metazoa; Chordata; Mammalia; Rodentia; Sciuridae.